ACAGGGAUUGCCUCAGUAACGGCGAGUGAAGCGGCACAAGCUCAAAUUUGAAAUCUGGCUCUCUCGGGGCCCGAGUUGUAAUUUGUAGAAGAUGCUUGGGGUGUGGCACCGGUCUAAGUCCCCUGGAACGGGGCGUCAUAGAGGGUGAGAAUCCCGUAUGUGACUGGAUGCCUACGCCCGUGUCAAGCUCUUUCGACGAGUCGAGUUGUUUGGGAAUGCAGCUCAAAAUGGGUGGUAUAUUUCAUCUAAAGCUAAAUAUUGGCCAGAGACCGAUAGCGCACAAGUAGAGUGAUCGAAAGAUGAAAAGCACUUUGGAAAGAGAGUUAAACAGUACGUGAAAUUGCUAAAAGGGAAGCGCUUAUGGCUAGACUUGGUGGUGGUGGAGCAAUCCGCUGCUACUGGGCCGGCACCAGUUCGCGUUGGGGGGUAAAGGCAGUGGGAACGUAGCUCCUCCGGGAGUGUUAUAGCCCGCUGUGUAAUACCCUGGUGCGGACUGAGGCUCUCGCUUCGGCAAGGGUGCCGGCGUAAUGGCCAUCAGCGGCCCGUCUG
This 549-nucleotide ribosomal RNA is filed under the name uncultured fungus. RNAcentral describes it as "eukaryotic LSU rRNA". It matches the Rfam family "Eukaryotic large subunit ribosomal RNA", at positions 68 to 655 of the family's 3401-position model. The record is from RNAcentral. Lineage: Eukaryota; Fungi.